Molecule: ribosomal RNA, 447 nt
Filed under: uncultured bacterium
Lineage: Bacteria
Description: SSU rRNA
Rfam family: Bacterial small subunit ribosomal RNA
Source: RNAcentral
AGAGCGAACGCUGGCGGCAGGCCUAAUACAUGCAAGUCGAACGCACCUUCGGGUGAGUGGCGGACGGGUGAGUAACACGUGGGAACGUGCCUUUUGGUUCGGAAUAAUCCGGGGAAACCUGGCCUAAUACCGGAUGUGCCCUUCGGGGGAAAGAUUUAUCGCCAUUAGAGCGGCCCGCGUCUGAUUAGCUUGUUGGUGGGGUAAUGGCCCACCAAGGCUACGAUCAGUAGCUGGUCUGAGAGGAUGAUCAGCCACACUGGGACUGAGACACGGCCCAGACUCCUACGGGAGGCAGCAGUAGGGAAUCUUGCGCAAUGGGCGAAAGCCUGACGCAGCCAUGCCGCGUGAAUGAUGAAGGUCUUAGGAUUGUAAAAAAUUCUUUCAGCGGGGAAGAUAAAUGACUGUACCCGCAGAAGAAGCUCCGGCUAACUUCGCGCCAGCAGCCGC